This 470-nucleotide ribosomal RNA is filed under the name Vampyroteuthis infernalis. Its description in RNAcentral is "LSU rRNA". It matches the Rfam family "Eukaryotic large subunit ribosomal RNA", at positions 666 to 946 of the family's 3401-position model. Lineage: Eukaryota; Metazoa; Mollusca; Cephalopoda; Vampyromorpha; Vampyroteuthidae. The record is from RNAcentral.
CCGAGGAGUCCUGGCCGUUCUCGAGUCGCAGGGGCUCACGAACCCCGAAGGCGCAGCGAAAGCGAGAGAGUGCGACGUCGGCUGCCGUUCCAUCGGUCGGCCUUCUUUCCCUUUUCCUCGGCUCUUCGUCCUUCUUCUUUUUCUUCUUCUUCUAGGAGGAGCAGGAGGAGAGGGCGGCGGGUGUCUGGGGGGUCGGGAUCGGUCGAUCGGGUCGGUAGACGCGCCGCGCCCGCCGGUGGGAUCCCGCGGCCCGAUUCAGGGUCUGAGCCGCGGGCGCACCACCCCCGGGUCGGCCGGAGUACGACUCUGCCGACUCAGGCGUAGCGAGCGGCCGGGGACCCGAAAGAUGGCGAUCCACGCCCGGUCGGGACGAAGCCAGAGGAAACUCUGGUGGAAGUCCGAAGCGCCUCUGACGUGCAAAUCGAUCGUCGGAACCGGGUGUAGGGGCGAAAGACCAAUCCCGCCGUCUA